AAUUUAAGUUAAUUACCAAUUAGUUAUUAUAAUUUAAAAAAUAACCUAAAAUGCCCAUAUUGUUACUUUCGUGGCCGUUAAGUAUAACUUAAAAUUUAAACAAAUUAGAAAUUCAACAUAGGAAAGAUCAAUAACUAAGUAAAUUAAAUAAAAACAGAUAAACUGCUGUUGGAAUCAUGAAGCUCAAAUCUGAUCUCAGGAAUAUGUAUGACACGUCGUCUGUUUGUCAGCAAGGAUAAACGACAUGUCAAGCAUUGGAGUUCAGAACAGCUGUUUGAUACAAACGAUAUGUCGGCUGGAUUCGUUAGUAAUACACGUGAUGUGUCACAUGUUUCACUAACUCAAACAGCAGCCAUCUCUGCGUUUUAAUCAAGAGUUUGCAUGAAUGUUUGACAAGUGUCCCAAAGCUAAUUCAAGAAAUGGUUUUUACCGUUAGCUCACGCGGGAAGCAGCUGGAGGUCCUCUUGGCUGGAAACCCAGGAGCGUGAACUAGUUUCUUGGGGUUCUUUCAAAUUGGUCAGAGUGGAGUAUAAAAGGCCAUAGGAUCUGUUGUUAAGUGUAUCUGUUCAUUUACAUGUUUUCUCCAAAUUUGUAACUUGUUCUCGGAAAUCAAUAAAAGGGUUGCUUCGUUUUCCACAGUGGAUGUAGGCAAGAAAUUGGCCGAACCACUAUAAUCCUUGGUGCAAAGUGUGUGAUAUGAUUUUCUUUGAUUGUGUGAUUGAUUUCCAGUGGUUAUUCUUGUUUCUUGUCAAAACUUAGUUUAGUGAUUAAUUCCAAACAAAGAUCAAGUUUCAUAGAGUGGGUCUUGGGGGUUCCAAAUUGGUCUUGGUGAUUGGUUUGGAUUCAACAAAUUGGUAUCAGAGCUUAUCUCUGUUUUCUUGGUCUCUGUAAUGGCGUCAACUAAACUUGAAGUGGAGAAGUUCACAGGCGAAAAUGAUUUCCACCUAUGGAGGCUCAAGAUGAGAGCCUUACUGGUGCAUCAAAGGUUGGAUGUUACACUUGAUGAUGAGUCAUCAUCCAAGAAGCCAAUGAAAGGAACUGAAGAAGAAUUAUCUGAGGUUCUUGAUAGGGCACACAGUGCAAUAAUUCUAAGUCUUGUGGAUGGUGUACUCAGAGAGGUGGGUGGGUAAAAAACAGCAGCAGGACUAUAGAAGAAGCUUGACAACUUAUACACAAAGAAGUCAAUGGCUAAAAGACUACCCACUAAGAAGAAGCUUUAUACAUUACAGAUGGGAGAAGGAUCAUCAAUUACUGAUCACAUUGAUGCUUUCAACAAGAUCAUCCUGGAUCUUGAAGACAUCAAUGUGAAAAUUGAUGAUGAUGACAAAGCCAUGAUCCUACUCUGCUCUCUACCGAGUUCCUAUGAGAAUCUAGUGGAUACAUUGAUGUAUGGAAGACAGACUCUCGCUAUGGGAGAUGUAAAGGAAGCUCUGAGUUCCAAGGCUGCAAUCAAGAAAGAAACCAGGGAUGGAGAAUGGCUGACAGCAAGAGGAAGAACUGAAAAUAGAGAGACAAGUAAGAACAAGAAAAAGAGAUCAAAAUCCAGGCCAAAGAACUUGAAAUGUUUUCACUGUCAUAAGGAGGGCCAUUUCAAGAAAGAUUGCCCUGAAUUUAAAAACAAGAAAAAUAAUGCAAAGGAGAAGAAUGAAGAUGCUGCUGUUGUAUCAGAAUUUGAAGAAUCUGAUGGCUAUGACUUAGCUAGAGUUCUAAUAGCAACUGAUGCUCAAACAAAAGGUAAUUGGGUUUUAGAUUCUGGUUGUUCCUUCCACAUGUGCCCUAAUAAAACUUUAUUCACAAACUAUGAGACUUGUGAUGGUGGGAUAGUAGUAAUGGGUAAUGAUUUAACCUGUAGAGUGGUUGGCAGAGGUUCAAUUAGGUUGAAAAUGUUUGAUGGCAUGAGUAAGGAACUAAGGGAUGUUAGACAUGUGCCUGAUCUCAAAAGAAAUCUUAUCUCUCUAGGAAUGCUGGAUAAAAUAGGAUGCCUAGUUAAACUUGAGUCAGGCACUUUAAAGGUCUUGAAAGGGUCAAUGGUUGUGAUGAAAGGGAACAUGAGCAAUGGUCUGUAUGUGUUACAGGGAUCAGCUAUCACAGGGGAUGUUGCUAUGUCAAACCAGAAAAUAAAUAAAACCAUGCUGUGACAUAUGAGGUUAGGCCACAUGAGUGAAAGAGGCUUAGUUGAACUAUCAAAAUAGGGAGUCUUAGGAGUAGAUAAGAUAGAGCCUUUGAAAUUAUGUGAAGAUUGUGUUUUAGGAAAAUCUUCAAGAGUGAAAUUCAGUACUGGUAUCCAUAAUUCAAAGGGGACUCUAGACUACAUUCAUGCUGAUCUAUGGGGGCCUGCACAGACAGCUUCUCUAGGUGGGGCUAGGUAUUUCUUAUCUCUUAUUGAUGAUUUCUCAAGAAUGGUUUGGGUGUUUAGUUUGAAAAGCAAAGACUAAGUGUUUGAUCAGUUUAAGAACUGGAAAAUAUUAGUUGAAACACAGACUAAUAGAAAGGUGAGAAGACUGAGGACAGAUAAUGGGUUAGAGUCCUGCAAUAAGGACUUUGAUGAUUUCUGUACAAAACAUGGUAUAGUUAGACACAAAACAAUAAGACACACACCGCAGCAAAAUGGAUUAGUUGAAAGAAUGAACAGGACCCUAAUAGAUAAAGUUAGGUGUAUGCUGAUCCACUUUAAGCUACCCAUGAGUCUAUGGGCUGAAGCUCUAGAUACUGCUUGCUUCAGAGUAAACAUGAGUCCCUCUUCUAGAAUCAAUUUCAGAACCCCAUAUGAGCUCUGGUCUGGCAAACCAGCUGACUAUUCUCAAUUGAGAAUAUUUGGCUGCCCAGCCUAUGCUCAUGUCAAACAAGGGAAGUUAGAGCCCAGGGCCUUUAAGUGUGUGUUCUUAGGAUAUCAUGCUGGUGUGAAGGGUUACAAGCUGUGGUGUACAGACAUGAAGCCACCAAGGGCAAUAAUCAGCAGGGAUAUGGUGUUUAAUGAACAUGAAAUGCUUCAAAACUCAGCCACUGAAAAUCAAACCAUUGAGAGAAUGUCAGGUUGUGACAAGAAGAGUUUUCUUGAGGUGGAGCUCCCAAGCUCUAGCACAGAAGCUGACAAAAAGGCAAGGCCUGAGAAUUCACCUGGAAUAGAUUUUCCCGAACAACAAGGUGAAUUAGAAGGUGAUGAUAACCUCAGAAAUUAUCAACUGGUGAGAGAUAGAAAGAAAAGAGAAUCAAAGCCACCUAAGAGGUAUGCAUAUGCAGACUUGAUUGCAUUUGCACUAUCAACAGAACAGGGAGUAGAAGAAGAUGAACCAAAGACUUACACUGAAGCUGUCAGUAGUAAGGACUCAAAGAAGUGGGUUGCAGCUAUGGAUGAAGAAAUGAGAUCAUUGAUCAAGAACCAUACAUGGGAUCUGAUUCCAAAACCAGAAAAGAAGAAAGUAGUUGGCUACAAGUGGAUCUAUAAGAUCAAAGAAGGCAUACCAGUAGUUGAACCACUUAGAUACAAAGCCAGGCUGGUUGCCAAAGGCUUCACACAAAAAGAGGGGGCUGACUUUAAUGAGGUUUUUUCCCUAGUGGUGAGACACUCUUCCUUGAGGAUCUUGUUAGCACUGGUUGCAGUAAAUGACAUGCACCUAGGAUAGAUGGAUGUCAAGACUGCAUUCCUUCAUGGUGAAUUGGAAGAGAUGAUUGUAAUGGCACAACCAAGAGGUUAUGAGGAUCCAGCUAAAGCUGAUUAUGUGUGUCAUUUGAGAAAGUCUCUAUAUGGAUUAAAGCAAUCCCUGAGACAAUGGUAUUUGAGAUUUGAUAAAUUCAUGGCUGAGAAUAGUUUUCAAAGAUGCUCUUAUGAUUGUUAUGCAUACCACAAAGAUUUGAGAGAUGGAGGUAAGAUCUAUCUGUUGUUAUAUGUUGAUGACAUGCUUAUAGCAUGUAACCACAUGGAUCAGAUAGAUAAGCUGAAGAAACAAUUAAAGAAUGCAUUUGAGAUGAAGGAUCUUGGGGCAGCCAAGAAGAUUCUUGGAGUAGAGUUGCUAAGAGAUAGUAAGAAAGGGAUACUAAAGCUGUCACAACACUGCUAUAUAAAGAAAAUACUUGAGAGAUUUGAAAUGGUGGACUCUAAACCAGUUCAAACUCCACUGUCUGCUCAUUUCAGGCUGUCUUGUAAUCAGUGUCCAAGGACUGAAGAUGAAAAAGCUGAGAUGAGCACAACUCCAUAUUCAAGUGCUGUGGGAUGCUUGAUGUAUGCCAUGGUCUUAACAAGGCCAGAUAUCUCUCAUGCAGUAAGUGUAGUUUCCAGGUAUAUGGCUAAUCCUGGAAAGGAGCACUGGAGAGCUGUAAAAUGGAUCUUAAGAUAUCUCAGUGGGAUUGCUGAUUAUGGCCUCAUCUAUAGUGCAAAAGGAGGUACAGAAGUUGAUGUUGAAGGGUAUGUGGAUGCUGACUAUGCAGGGGAUCUGGAUAAAAGGAGGUCUCUGACAGGCUAUUUGUUCACACUCAGUGGCUGCAUCAUAAACUAGAAAGCUUCACUGCAAAGUGUUGUUGCUCUGUCAACAACAGAAGCUGAGUACACUGCAGCUGCAGAAGCCUUUAAGGAGGCAAUAUGGCUCAGAGGAAUAGUUACAGAAUUGGGAUUUGAACAAAGACAGGUGGCUUUUCACUGUGACAGUCAAAGUGCAAUUUGCCUAAGCAAGAACCAGGUGCAUCACGAAAAGACAAAGCACAUUGACGUUAAACUGCACUUUGUCAGGCUGGAGGUGUCUAAAGGUAUGGUGAAGCUGUUAAAGGUUCACACUGAUGAUAACCUUGUUGAUAUGUUGACAAAGGCUAUACUAGCAGCCAAGCUGGAGUUCUGCAUGAACUCAGCUGGGAUCUGCAGGCUAUAAUACUGCAAGGAUACAGUGGAAGGCAGAAGCAAAAGGGUAACUAAUUUGAGUUCAAGGUGGAGAGUGUUGGAAUCAUGAAGCUCAAAUCUGAUCCCAGGAAUAUGUAUGACACCUCGUCUGUUUGUUAGCAAGGAUAAACGACAUGUCAAGCAUUGGAGUUCAGAACAGCUGUUUGAUACAAACGAUAUGUCGGCUAGAUUCGUUAGUAAUACACGUGAUGUGUCACAUGUUUCACUAACUCAAACGGCAACCAUCUCUGCGUUUUAAUCAAGAGUUUGCAUGAAUGUUUGACAAGUGUCCCAAAGCUAAUUCAAGAAAUGGUUUUUACCAUUAGCUCACGCGGGAAGCAGCUGGAGGUCCUCUUGGCUGGAAACCCAGGAGCGUGAACUAGUUUCUUGGGGUUCUUUCGGAUUGGUUAGAGUGGAGUAUAAAAGGCCAUAAGAUCUGUUGUUAAGUGUAUCUGUUCAUUUACAUGUUUUCUCCAAAUUUGUAACUUGUUCUCGGAAAUCAAUAAAAGGUUGCUUCGUUUUCCACAGUGGAUGUAGGCAAGAAAUUGGCCGAACCACUAUAAUCCUUAGUGCAAAGUGUGUGAUAUGAUUUUCUUUGAUUGUGUGAUUGAUUUCUAGUGGUUAUUCUUGUUUCUUGUCAAAACUUAGUUUAGUGAUUAAUUCCAGAACAAAGAUCAAGUUUCAUAGAGUGGGUCUUGGGGGUUCCAAAUUGGUCUUGGUGAUUGGUUUGGAUUCAACAACUACAAAAUGGAUCUUUGAAUAAUUUUUUUUUAAAUAUAGGAAUUAAUUGACUCAAACUCAAGAGAUUAAAGGAGCAUUUGCCCGAAGAUAAUUUAUACAGCUUUGAGAGAACAUAUUUUUUUUCCUUUACCCUUAUGCACUCAAGUUGGUAAAAACGUUUAGGCUAGAUAGUUCCAUUAGAAUAAGUUCACGUGCUUGGUGUCAAUAAGGAGGACCAUAUAAUGCCUUGCCUACACCAGAAUAAUUGUAAGUUGUGUAUUUUCCUGCAAGAAGUGCUGACCUAAAAGCAAAAGUAACACCAAGAGUUUCGAGAAAAAGUUCUGUAGGUUAAAGUGAUCGGGCUACCACCGCAUUAUAGAAGCCUGAUUUCAGUUGCAUAACGUGUCUGUAAGGAGCCAUGAGAGAGGGGGUCGAUGAGGUUUAGGUUUUCGAUGAGGGGCCAUGGCUUUAGACCGAGUGGCAAGUUGAGGUUCUUCUGAGAAUAAUAAUGCCGGUGGAUAUAUAAGAAGAUGAGGAUAGAAAGCAAGUAGUAUCACAUAUAUAGCUAUAUAUAGCUUGAAUUUAAUUGCUUGCUUUUGAUUAUUAAUUGUAUUUUUUGUACGUAUAUAUAGGAGGACAAAGGAAGAGAGACUGUCUUUGGUUUUACAAAGUAUUUCUUCUUUCUUAGAACAACAGCCAACCAAAUUAAAGAAAAUUAUAAGUGUGUGUGUUAUAUGACGAUGCAAAAUCAAAGAAAACAUGUGGAGAAGGGAGUGAAAAUAUAAAUUACAUCAAUUCAAUUACAUGAUAGAAUUUGAUAAAAUAUACAAUAAAAUUGAGAGAGGUGUUCAUACGCAGAUGUCCGUAUGAACUUACAACGCGGACGAAACAAAAAGAUAAAAUAACAUGAAUUUCAAUAUAUAUUUUUGUCUUUUAGUGUAUUAGAGUUUGUGUUUUUUUUUUUAAUUUUGUCUACAUAAAUUUUUCGUACAGACGUCCACACUUGAGCACAAUUGUUUAUAUAGGAAUAACUGAUAUUUUAUAUAAGAAUAACUUUUAUAUAGUCAAAAGAUUUUUCUUGUAAUUUAGACUAAUUAUAAAUAAGAAUAAAUUCCACAUUAUAGAUGCAUAUUAGUUGCUGCUCUGUCACGGUUCCUAAGCUUUGAGGUCUUUAUCAAUAUUUGAUGCUUGGGAAAUUGGAGGUCGCUAGCUGCCAAUGGAAGUUGAUAGUUUAUGCAUAACCCAAUUGGUUAGUAGCUCCUCUGAGACCAUUAAUGAAUACCCUCUGCUUAUCCUCUCUAUCCACGAGCUUCUGCAAUGAGAUUAGCAUGCUGACAUCAAUCAUAUCUAUUGCGAGGCCAAUUUUACAGUUGAUGCUCUUACUACUCAUACAAUAUCUCUUCCUUUGGGUCUCAAUGUUUUUAGCUCCCCCACUUUCUUCUAUUAAUCACAUUGUCUUUUGUGAUAUGUAUGGGGUUGCUUAUCCCUGUUUUCUUUUGUCUUAGCUCUCUUUGAAGAACCCCUAUGUACAAAAAAUAAACAACUAAAUAAACUCUAUAUUGUAGUAAAUUACAGUUUUUAUAGAGUCAUAUCUUACGAAAAUUGUCUGCACUUAGUAACAUUUUUCAAUAAAUUACAAAAAAUAUAUGCUAUAUUACAUUAAAGGUUCAAGAUUGAAUAAAAUAUUUUUCUAAAAUUAUUUGGGACAAUGAUUUAAUCUUUAGACUUUCAAGAUACUUUAUAUAAUCUUAACACUACAUACUGGGGCGGUUCAACUAAUUUUGGGGGCCUCAGGUGAAUUGUUUCAAUUAGGCCUUUUAAAAAAUUUGAAGUCAAAUAUAUGUAUUAGUUUUAUUAAAAAGUUAUUUAUUUAAAAUCAAUUUUUCUAGCUUUCUUAAAUAAUAUAUUCUAUUUUCGCUAAUAUAUUUUUCUCAAUAGAUAAUAUAGUUAAUCCAUUUAAUCUUUCUUGCGACUUAGUUGAUCUUAAAUAAGUUUUUAUCAAAUUUAAUUGUGAAAAUCUUUGUCAAUUACUGAUUCUUCACUUAAAUUCACACCUUUUUUUUACAAUUUUUGACAAACCUAUAAAGAGCCCUUUUUAGAUAUCAAACUAACUUUUUUAUUCUUCUCUUUUUAUUUGAAGUUUUUGGUAUC
RNAcentral lists this long non-coding RNA (7738 nucleotides) under Citrus x clementina. RNAcentral's name for it is "Citrus clementina (C. clementina) long non-coding RNA (CCLE_LNC002527)". Lineage: Eukaryota; Viridiplantae; Streptophyta; Magnoliopsida; Sapindales; Rutaceae. The record is from RNAcentral.